UGGCUUGGAUUCAACAAUCCCUAUCCCGGGAACUUCCAUAUGCCACAGUGCACCCAUUAAAAAAAAAUAUUGAGACUCAAAUUUGACUUUUCUUUAAAGUAUAGAGAGCCAAUAAUCUUGAAAGCCACACGAAAAAAAAAAAAAGUUUCAAAUUUUCAUGUUUCCUUUACAUGUCCAAAGUGGAUCGUGACAGUCUGAGCACAGAGCUAUAAGAGAAGGCAGAUCUUAAGAAGGUGGAGGAUAAAGUUUAAGGCGCAUUCCUGCCACACUGAGGGUUAAUACCCUCCGUGUGUGUUCACAUAAUACCUGGACACGCUAGGAAGGACAUGGCACACUAAUGCCAGCUCAGAGGACCAGGGACCAGAUGAGAGGGGAUGUCUGGACAGAGGACAUCCGACUUCAUCCAGACAUUAUCCUGCAUGAGGUCAGAGGCCCUUGCCCAUCUCCACUGCCAUUUGGAUACAAAAGCUGCCUCUGAACUUCGCGUUUGGGGAAGGGCAGGGGUGGGGAUGAGAGUUGCUGGGGAGGGGCAGGGACUGGGGAGAGACAGUGUUACAGAGAGUUCACACCUUGAAUUGAUUGAAUAUUGGCCUGACUGAGCCUAUGGGUCUUCUGUUACAGCUCCAUGUGCCUGUACUCCAAAAAACCUCUCCGUCUGUAAAAUUGCUCAGGAAGAAGAGCAAGGUUUGUAGGAAAAAUAAGUUUAGGGGCAACCACACGAAAACCUACGUACCUGGUGAACCAGAGCAUUAACAAGACAGUUAUGUCUAGUUCAGGGCUGAUGUGGACAGCCUGGGAUUGGUCAGCAGCUGCGGGCUGCCUGCGGAAACAAGAAUUCUGAGAAACAAUAGUACAAGGGCACAGGCUUGUUGUGCUGAGCACUGAGCACUGAGAAACCAGGUAACUAACCAGUAAUCAGCAUCCAGACCCUUUUAAGAUAAGGGUUUUAUGCUUUUGCCUAAUAUGUGAUUAUCUUUCAUAUGAACAAAAACUCUCCACCAGUGGGAAGAUCUCUUGCAUCAGUCAUGUCCAUAUCUAUCUCAGUAUUCUGUAACAUAAAGACAGAGUUAUACAUAAUAAAUUAUAGAUUUGUUACUCCACCAUUAGUACUUAAGUAAAAAUCACAGGGGAAAGGAGGUGGGAGGAAAAAAUAUGACUUCCACUAACAAUGCGAACAUUGCAAACAAGGUAGAAAAUGGUUUUAACAGUGAUGUUUUUGUAAUCGUUCAUGAGGUCAAGGUCGAUAUUUAUAACUUCCUUUUCACUACUUAUUUGAUCCUUAGGCUAGCGACUCAGGUGGUAAAGCCUCUUUACUAGUAGCAUGACUUGAACCUGCAUUUCUAAAGGGAUUUGAAUUCCCAGAGGUCUGUUUUGAAAUAGGCUUAAUGCAGAUUUCCACGAAGUUUGUACAUGGAAGUGCGAAGAAAAACACUUAUAGAAGAUCACAGUUUCCAAACAUAGUCCUUUCUGUCCCCGUGAGGAGCAGAACCCCGAUUUUUCAGACAGCAUAUACAACUCUUUAUGACUCUUUUGAUCAGUUGAAUGAGAAACCCCAAAUGGUCAGAGAAGUUUAAGGAGCAUCAUGUUUCCUUGGGAACAAAGAACCCUAAGCCAGCAGAGACAGAAAAUGAAAUUAUCACAGUAGAGUUUCAGGUGUAUUUGUAGGAGGGUCUGUCCCCCAAUUCUACCCCUUGAGUCUCCCUGUGGGAUAAUUUGUACCACUUGUUGAAAGCAUAUAUUUCAUCCUGUAGGGUAGAAACUAAAUUUUAAAGACUUUUCUCUCUCAGCUGGCCUUUAAUUAGCAUUCCACUGUUUUGGUCAGAUAAACUACUUCUGGAUGAUGUGGUACCUGCUAAGAUAGCAGAUUCCUUGGGUCUGGCCCUAUUGCCAUGCUUCCUUUGCCAUGAAAUAAAUUCCUUGUUUAGUAGUGAUGUUGUGUGGGAUACAAUGAUGGUGAAUAAGGCAUUAUGUAAGCCCAAGGAUAAUGGUAUGGGUAAAACAUUACAGAUAGGGAAGAGAAAUCGGUACUCAAAUAUGUGUGUGGUUUCCAUCAGUGCAAGUGGCUGCCUCCUCUGAUGAAGCAUUCCAAUACAAGUAAACCACUGCUAGUGGCUCUCUGGUUUCUCUGCAAAUAAUAGUGUAUCCAGGUCACAGGUUUUAUCUAUGCUGUUGGCAGUUUAGACAUGGCCAGAGUGAUUGCAAGUUCAGCUUUGGAGAGUGGAGUCCCUGUUCACAAGCUCCUCCGUAGCCUCCAUGCCAUCAAGAACCCUGGGGUGGCUGGGGAAGCUGGGGAAAGAGGCUGCCCGCCACAGAACAUAUCUCCUUGAAUAUCUGGAUUUUUUUUUCUCUUUUUUCUCUUUGUCUUUUUAGGCCUGCACUCAGUGCAUAUCGAGGUUCCCAGGCUAGGGGUCGAAUCAUAGCUAUAGAAGCCAGCCUACACCACAGCCACAGCAUUGUGGAAUCCAAGCCAUGUCUGUGACCUACACCACAGCUCACAGCAAUACUGGAUCCUUAACCCACUGAGGGAGGCCAGGGAUCGAACCUACAUCUUCAUGGAUGCUAGUCAGAUUCUUUUCCGCUCAACUACGACAGGAACUCCAAAUAUCUGGAUACUGAGAGCCUCUUCUGUGAUGGACAUCCUUUGGUGAUCUCUUGAGACACUCUUUUCAUGAAGGCAUUGAAAAAUAAACUAGUGAAUCAAGCAGUAGCAUUUUUGAAAAGCCCAAUGAAAAUGCCUCUAUAGGCUGGGAUGAUGGUGGGGGAUGUUGUCAUUAUGAUGGGAAUGCAGGGCUCCUGCAGUGGCAGAGAUCAAACACCAGCACUAUUUUUAGAAAUAAGGUAUCAAUACAGUAGAAACAGCAAACAGCAACAGAAUAUAAGGACUAUCAGAAUAGGUGGACCUAAAAUGAUUUUUGUACCAGAGGUAUGAAGGAGAUGGGCAACAUACCAGAGUAUUACUUGAUCUUUAUAACUGGAAAAUUUUGAGUCUAGUGGGCAAAAGCAUGAACUUGAGUUGUCACAAUAGAGUCCCAGCUUUCACCUGGUUCUGUGCUCUAGCCUGUCUAUAGACACUGAACUUUUUUGUUCUUUGUUGCAUCCUCAGUAUUUUUUAUGUGAAUGGGUGCAUGAAUAAAUGAAUGGAAAUAAGUGGCUGAUAUAAAACUGGGAAAGAAAAUCUGUUAGGGUUUGUUGACUCAAUUAGAAAAAUGUGUUGAGCAAUAUUCCAUUGCGUGUGCGUGUGUAUCUCAUAUCUUCUUUAUCCAUUCAUCGAUUCAUGAACACUUAGGUCGUGUCCAUAUCUUGGCUGUUGAGACUGUGAUGAACCUAAGGGUGUGUAUUUUUUGUGAAUUAGUGCUUUUGUUUUCUUUGGAUAGAUAACUAGCAGUGGAAUUGCUGGAUUAUAUGUUAGUUCUAUUUUUAGUGUUUUGAGGAGGCUCCAUACUGUUUUCCAUAGUGACUGCACCAAGUUACACCCCUCCAACUGUGUACAAGGGUUGCCUUUUUUUCUACAUCCCCACCAACACUUGUUAUUUGUCAUUUUUCUGAUAAUAGCUAUUCUGACUGCCAUUUGCAACAAAUCUGAAAAACAAAACAAGCAAAACAGAAGCAAACCCACUGAUACAGAGAACAAAGCGGAGGUCGCUGGAGGAGAAGGGAGUAGGGAAAUGGGUGAAAUAGAUGAAGGGGAUUAAGAGGAACAAACUUCUAGUUAGAAAGUAAAUGUCGUGCUCUAAUGCACAGCGCAGGAAAUAUGCUCAACAAUAUUGUAAUGACUUUGCAUGGAGGUCAAUGGCUGUUACACUUACCAUGGAGAUCAUUUUGUGUUGUGUAUAAAUAUCGAAUCACAGUGUUGUAUAUACCUGAAACUAUUAUUGUAUGAUGACUAAACUUCAAUUAAAAAAUAGGUUGAGGGAGUUCCCAUUGUCGAGCAGUGGAAUGAAUCCAACUACUAUCCAUGAGGAUGCGGGUUUGAUCCCUGGCCUCGCUUAGUGGGUUAAGGAUCUGGCGUUGCUGUGAGCUGUGGUGUAUGUCGCAGAUGCGGCUUGGAUCCUGUGUUGCUGUGGCUGUGGCACAGGCUAGCAGGCAGCGGUAGCUCUGAUUCAACCCUAGCUUGGAUACUUCCAUAUGCUGUGGGUGUAGCCGUAAAAAGC
RNAcentral lists this long non-coding RNA (4151 nucleotides) under Sus scrofa (pig). Its description in RNAcentral is "lncRNA (ENSSSCG00060061424.1)". The record is from RNAcentral. Lineage: Eukaryota; Metazoa; Chordata; Mammalia; Artiodactyla; Suidae.